RNAcentral lists this ribosomal RNA (372 nucleotides) under uncultured organism. RNAcentral describes it as "partial 16S ribosomal RNA". It matches the Rfam family "Bacterial small subunit ribosomal RNA", at positions 527 to 896 of the family's 1533-position model. The record is from RNAcentral.
GUAGGGUGCGAGCGUUAAUCGGAAUUACUGGGCGUAAAGCGUGCGCAGGCGGCUUUGCAAGACAGAUGUGAAAUCCCCGGGCUCAACCUGGGAACUGCAUUUGUGACUGCAAGGCUAGAGUACGGCAGAGGGGGAUGGAAUUCCGCGUGUAGCAGUGAAAUGCGUAGAUAUGCGGAGGAACACCGAUGGCGAAGGCAAUCCCCUGGGCCUGUACUGACGCUCAUGCACGAAAGCGCGGGGAGCAAACAGGAUUAGAUACCCUGGUAGUCCCACGCCCCUAAACGAUGUCAACUGGUUGUUGGACGGCUUGCUGUUCAGUAACGAAGCUAAACGCGUGAAGUUGACCGCCUGGGGAAGUCGGCCGCAAGGUUG